RNAcentral lists this ribosomal RNA (301 nucleotides) under uncultured bacterium. Its description in RNAcentral is "partial 16S ribosomal RNA". It matches the Rfam family "Bacterial small subunit ribosomal RNA", at positions 509 to 807 of the family's 1533-position model. The record is from RNAcentral.
CAGUAGCCACGGUAAUACGAAGGGUGCAAGCGUUAAUCGGAAUUACUGGGCGUAAAGCGUGCGUAGGCGGUGAGUUAAGUCUGCUGUGAAAUCCCCGGGCUCAACCUGGGAAUUGCAGUGGAUACUGGGUCACUAGAGUGUGGUAGAGGAUAGUGGAAUUUCCGGUGUAGCAGUGAAAUGCGUAGAGAUCGGAAGGAACAUCUGUGGCGAAGGCGACUAUCUGGGCCAACACUGACACUGAGGCACGAAAGCGUGGGGAGCAAGCAGGACUAGAUACCCCAGUAGUCCCUGUCUCUUAUAC